GAGUUUUGCCGCAUUAAAAGCCACCACACAAGCGAUUCAAGGUGGAUAUGGCACAUUUGGAGGUAAAAAGAAGAAAGAGGAUGUGAUGACUAUCGUAGAUGGAACCCAUUCCUAUCCUAAAAGACCACCUCGCCCCUAUCCCCAAUCCCAAACCCAAGUCUACGCCCAAGCUCUAUAUAUUCCUCCCCACCAUUACUACCCUCCAUAAAACCCUUUAUAUUCCAUUCCGCCA
Molecule: long non-coding RNA, 232 nt
Filed under: Capsicum annuum
Lineage: Eukaryota; Viridiplantae; Streptophyta; Magnoliopsida; Solanales; Solanaceae
Description: long non-coding RNA (CANN_LNC000310)
Source: RNAcentral